CUGCAUAGCUAGGAGGGGAGAGGUAGACGUANUCAGUAGGUAGGGGUAAAUCNUUGAUCUAUUGAUGACCACCUGUGGCGANGGCGGUCUACCAGAACACGUUCGACGGUGAGGGAUGAAAGCUGGGGGAGCAANCCGGAUUAGAUACCCGGGUAGUCCCAGCUGUAAACGAUGCAGACUCGAUGAUGCAUUGGCAUAAUAGCCAUUGCAGUGUCGCAGGGAAGCCGUUAAGUCUGCCGCCUGGGAAGUACGUACGCAAGUAUGAAACUUAAAGGAAUUGGCGGGGGAGCACCACAAGGGGUGAAGCCUGCGGUUCAAUUGGAGUCAACGCCAGAAAUCUUACCCGGAGAGACAGCAGAAUGAAGGUCAAGCUGAAGACUUUACCAGACAAGCUGAGAGGUGGUGCAUGGCCGUCGCCAGCUCGUGCCGUGAGAUGUCCUGUUAAGUCAGGUAACGAGCGAGAUCCCUGCCGCUAGUUGCUAUCAUUAUUCUCAGGAAUAGUGGAGCGAAUUAGUGGGACUGCCGUUGUUAAAACGGAGGAAGGAAGGGGCUACGGCAGGUCAGUAUGCCCCGAAACUCUGGGGCCACACGCGGGCUGCAAUGGUAGUGACAAUGAGUUCCAAACUCGAAAGAGAGUGGCAAUCUCUAAACGCUACCACAGUUAUGACUGAGGGCUGUAACUCGCCCUCACGAAUAUGGAAUCCCUAGUAACCGCGUGUCAUUACCGCGCGGUGAAUACGUCCCUGCUCC
Molecule: ribosomal RNA, 750 nt
Filed under: uncultured archaeon
Lineage: Archaea
Description: bacterial SSU rRNA
Rfam family: Archaeal small subunit ribosomal RNA
Source: RNAcentral